UACAGAGGUGGCAAGCGUUGCUCGGUAUCACUGGGCUUAAAGGGCGCGUAGGCGGUGCGGUACGGUUUCGGUGAAAUCCCUCGGCCCAACCGAGGAACAGCCGGGGCUACGGCCGCGCUAGACGGCACCAGGGGACAGUGGAACUUCCGGUGGAGCGGUGAAAUGCGUAGAUAUCGGAAGGAACGCCGGUGGCGAAAGCGACUGUCUGGGGUGCCUGUGACGCUGAGGCGCGAAAGCCAGGGGAUCAAACGGG
This 253-nucleotide ribosomal RNA is filed under the name uncultured bacterium. RNAcentral describes it as "partial 16S ribosomal RNA". It matches the Rfam family "Bacterial small subunit ribosomal RNA", at positions 524 to 776 of the family's 1533-position model. The record is from RNAcentral.